UAACUUCCAUUCCCCUCUGGGUGCUGAGGACUGACUGGCCUGAGAAAUGUCCCCAUGAGGACAUUCAUCAUUCAACCUUGAAAGACAAACAAAUUUUGGCAUUUCAGUGUUUCCAAUACACUUCUUUCUACAGAAGGGGUAAAAGGGAACUGUGAGAGACGUAGACAGUCUAUCCUCGAGCAACUUUCCAGGCAGUAGAGGCUGGAUUACAGAAGAAUUCCUUAGAACACCUGGGCAAAUUCUGAAUUUACUGAUGCUCAGCAAAAAUCCCUGCCCCAAAUGGUCUGACUUGCCCACAGGGCCCCAAUUCUGGGGCCUCAAGGAGUGCCACACAGAUUAGAGGGGAAGCUAACCCAAGCCUCUUUGACACAGGAACCAUCUUCCUCAGAUUGCCUUCAUUCCAGAUCAAAAGUUUCAUCUUGAGGAUGGGAACGUGCUGGCAUGUCAGGCAGGGCUAGAUCCUGCGGGCUCAGCUCCUAGGAUGGAAACACAAGCCUUGCCCUUGGGAACCCGAUUUCAUCUCCAUGGAAGGUUCUCUUGACAUGGAGCAGGAGGUCUGCCCACCAGCCAAUCACACCAGCAAGGACAGCAGCUUUGCCUGUUCUGUUUUGUUUUCACAGAAGAGUACAUUUCACAGAACAGUAGCACCAGUCUUUGUGAACUGUUUCUCCACAUUUUGAAAACCACAGCCAUCUUUCUGCCUGGCCCGCAUUUGUUGAAAACUUUAAUGGGUGGCCAGCAUGGACGUAAAUUACCCUGUCUCUAAUCCAUUUUCAUCAUCAAAUCCAACAAUGACUCAUUAUGGGUUGAAACGUUUAUUCAGAACUGCUGAAAAAGUACAGCUAGUUGGACAGCUAGAGAGCCUUUUUCGUUUCAGUGGGAAAUAAACACUGAAUUCUGAUGGUAACAGGCUACGUCCUGCCUUGAAAACAGGCAUCACACACGUGUAAUUUCAGGAAAACCUGAAGGCCUUAUUCAGGUUAAAGUGAGCCAGAAAUGUAACAGCUCAGAGGUGUGUGCAAUUUUAGAUUCAGUGAGGGUUCUCAUUAUAAGGUAAAAAUAGAAAUACGUAGAAAAUAUUAUUGUGUUGUUCUGAGGUAAAGCGAAGAACAAGACUGUGUGACUUCAGUUUCUUCUGGAAUCCUUUUGAGAGCUAGAUGUUUGUGAAGUCCUAAGUAGAAAAAUGAUGAAUGAAGAUAAAUGAUUUGUGAAAUUGUACACCAUGUUGAAAAAUAAACAUUUUGCAAAAGAAAAGAAAAAUGGAAAAAAAACAAGAAAAACUUCUGGGAAAGAAAGAAGUUGGAGUUGGAGUCCACAGAUGGAAAAUAGCUUCACCUGUCUUCCCUAUGCCCUCAACCACAACAGUGAAAGUAAACGAACUGUGCUGCAGAUAUUAGAAUUAUUUUAGAGCCUUCAUAUUGUAUUUUCAUCCCUCAAAAAUGAUCAUUUUCCUCUUUCCCUUUUAGAAUAAGUAAGAGUGGGAUGCCUGAGUGGCUCAGUUGAUUGAGCGUCUGACUUCGACUGAAGUCAUGAUCUCCCAGCUUGUGGUUUCCAGCCCCACAUGGGGCUCUGUGCUGACAGCUCAGAGCCUGGAACCUGCUUCGGAUUCUAUGUCUCCCCCUCUCUCUCCCUCCCCUGCUCACACUCUGUCUCUCUUCCAAAAUAAAAAUAAAGACUUUUAAAAAAAAA
Acinonyx jubatus (cheetah) is the source of this 1689-nucleotide long non-coding RNA. RefSeq lists it as uncharacterized. Lineage: Eukaryota; Metazoa; Chordata; Mammalia; Carnivora; Felidae. The record is from RefSeq and is a predicted model, not a curated record. The transcript is spliced from 2 exons.